GGCGGCGUAGCUCAGUUGGUCUAGAGCGUUCGCUUUGCAUGUGAACGGUCCCGCGGUUGAAGCCCCGGCGCCUCCA
Molecule: non-coding RNA, 76 nt
Organism: Schistocerca serialis cubense
Lineage: Eukaryota; Metazoa; Arthropoda; Insecta; Orthoptera; Acrididae
Source: the annotation of a RefSeq genome assembly